This 312-nucleotide ribosomal RNA is filed under the name uncultured bacterium. Its description in RNAcentral is "bacterial SSU rRNA". It matches the Rfam family "Bacterial small subunit ribosomal RNA", at positions 29 to 325 of the family's 1533-position model. The record is from RNAcentral.
AACGAACGCUGGCGGCGCGCCUAAUACAUGCAAGUCGAGCGAGAAGACGUAGCAAUACGUUUGUAAAGCGGCGAACGGGUGAGGAAUACAUGGGUAACCUACCUCGAGUGGGGAACUAACUAGGCCGAAAGGUUAGCUAAAUACCGCGUACGCUCCCUUGGACUUCGGUUCAGGGAGGAAAGCGAUACCGUGGGUAUCGCGCUUCUUGGAUGGGCUCAUGUCCUAUCCAGCUUGUUGGUGAGGUAAACGGCUCACCAAGGCUUCGACGGGUAGCUGGUCUGAGAGGACGAUCAGCCACACUGGCACUGCGAC